ACUUAGGUAGUUUAAAAUGUUAAAGAAUUAUAAUUUGUGGUAUUAUAGGUGAAGUUUAUCUCUAGGUU
Molecule: transfer RNA, 68 nt
Filed under: Arocatus melanocephalus
Lineage: Eukaryota; Metazoa; Arthropoda; Insecta; Hemiptera; Lygaeidae
Description: tRNA-His
Source: RNAcentral